GGGGGGGGGGGGGGGGGGGGGGGGGGGGGGGGGGGGGGGGGGGGGGGGGGGGGGGGGGGGGGGGGGGGGGCCCUGUCCGGCUGGAGCCGCCUGAGGCGGGGGAUGUCGGCGGAGCCGGGCUGGAGGGAUCUCGGAGAGCCUUCUCCAAACCACAAACACAAAAAUGCCCCCUCGGUCAGGACCCCGGAAAAGUGCAGCGGCAGGCCCCAAAUGAGGACUGGUCAGUGCCAUGUGAAUGCCAGGAAGCUGUGCCUGGAUUUCACCGUGAUGGCAGGUCAGAGAAGGGUUCAAUGUGAAAACCACUGCAUGCGCUUUCAGCACUGCACUCACGGUCCAGCUCUGGCCCUUGGAAGGGCGUCGCUCACUGCGGAGCUGCUGCAGCACCCGAGGUCUGAACCCAUGGAUUCAGCAUGGAGAGCCCUCAUGUCCAGCAGCCAGGUGGAGCAGACUGCUGGGAAAAGGGACUUCGGUGUGUGACAGCGAGAUUCACCAGUGCCCCUUCCACCACUGCAUAUCAGCCUGGAUGUAAAAUUUACAGGAGAAAUUAUUUUAACACUGGAAAAGCUCUUACUCAUCUGAACCAUCAUUCAAAAUGCAUGAUGAAAGUUGCCAAGCAGAAGUUCUCCAUCCCACUGUCUGCAGGACUCCUGCAGCUCUUCUAAAGCUUAAG
This 670-nucleotide long non-coding RNA is filed under the name Ficedula albicollis (Collared flycatcher). RNAcentral's name for it is "lncRNA (ENSFALG00000025874.1)". Lineage: Eukaryota; Metazoa; Chordata; Aves; Passeriformes; Muscicapidae. The record is from RNAcentral.